RNAcentral lists this long non-coding RNA (454 nucleotides) under Nicotiana benthamiana. RNAcentral describes it as "long non-coding RNA (NBEN_LNC020347)". Lineage: Eukaryota; Viridiplantae; Streptophyta; Magnoliopsida; Solanales; Solanaceae. The record is from RNAcentral.
UAAAAAUAACGGUAGGAAAAGCCGUAAAGACUGCAAAAUAAGGAUAAACAUACAUAAACUAUGAAGUACAAUCCAUCAAAAGUGAAUCGCGUAAAAUACCGAUUCAUAGUAAAUUCUAGACCUUCCCGUGGGCAGAGGUUGCAAAACCAUGCAUAGAAUUUACUAAAGUUAUUAGACUAGUAUACCAAAAUGCAUAAAAAUUAAUCCGUACUUGUGGGCAUAAGAUAAUUUUCAACUUAAAGGUUUACUAUCCCAUGUGGGCAGAGGUUGCAACUCAUGCAUAGAAUUUACUAACUUUAUUAGACUAGUAAACCGAAAUACAUAAAAAAUUUAUCCGUACCUGUGGGCAUAAGAUAAUUUAACUUAAAGGUUUACUAUCUCAUUCCAAUUAAUCUCGCCAAAAUGGUUGUAGGGCAGGGUUACCAUUUUAAUAAGAUAGCUGGACUAAAUAGAU